UACAGAGGUCUCAAGCGUUGUUCGGAUUCACUGGGUUUAAAGGGUGCGUAGGAGGGCAGGUAAGUCAGUGGUGAAAUCUUCGAGCUUAACUCGGAAACUGCCGUUGAUACUAUCUGUCUUGAAUCCCGUGGAGAUGAGCGGAAUAUGUCAUGUAGCGGUGAAAUGCUUAGAUAUGACAUAGAACACCAAUUGCGAAGGCAGCUCGUUACACGAAGAUUGACUCUGAGGCACGAAAGCGUGGGGAUCAAACAGG
RNAcentral lists this ribosomal RNA (253 nucleotides) under uncultured bacterium. RNAcentral describes it as "partial 16S ribosomal RNA". It matches the Rfam family "Bacterial small subunit ribosomal RNA", at positions 524 to 776 of the family's 1533-position model. The record is from RNAcentral.